UAAAUAAAUUAAAACAAAAAUAAAAAAAAUAAAAAAACGUUAGCCAUGUGAUAUCCCUCAUUAAUUGAGGUGGUAGAUCAAGUGGCUGGAAACGUGCGUUCGAUGGUGGAACUUAGUCAGCGCGCACACGCUUGGUAAUCAAAACCAACGCCUAAGAUUAAAACAAUUCAAUGGAUCCUGUGCUCUGGAGACAUGUUGUAAGACCCCAAUUUUUACCCUAAGAUCCCUCAUGCAACUUCAUCAUAAGCAUCAACAUUAGG
Molecule: long non-coding RNA, 260 nt
Filed under: Lathyrus oleraceus (garden pea)
Lineage: Eukaryota; Viridiplantae; Streptophyta; Magnoliopsida; Fabales; Fabaceae
Description: Pisum sativum (pea) long non-coding RNA (PSAT_LNC041855)
Source: RNAcentral